AUCUUAAUUAUAAUUUUGAAAAGUAGAAAAAUAUCUGAUUUAUCAACAGUGGUCUUAAUUUUCUGCUCCUCAUUUCAGGAUUGAGGAAGAAGUAUGCAGUAUUCUCUCCCUCUCCCCCCCUUUUAUUGAGCCUAUAGUGUACCUGUAGAAAUGGAAUUCUUUGGCUGCUGACACAACAGCUGCUGGAGUACAGGCUGCUGCUCUGGGCCCUGUCUCCUCCUGUUGAAGGUCUGCUCUGCGGGGCCCAGCAGGCCCUGGGGAUGCUGAAAUGGAGAGAGCAUCCAGGAGCUGCCGGCAGGGAUCCCACUGCCUCCUGUGGGAGGCGGCACCGACGAAAUCGCAGCAGUGGCAGUUGUUUCCUCAUAAUAACCUCACUGGGCCAGGCUUCAGAGACACUCCCUGCUCACUCACGAG
Long non-coding RNA from Nycticebus coucang (slow loris), 414 nucleotides. RefSeq lists it as uncharacterized. Lineage: Eukaryota; Metazoa; Chordata; Mammalia; Primates; Lorisidae. The transcript has 3 exons. The record is from RefSeq and is a predicted model, not a curated record.